UGGGGAAUUUUGGACAAUGGGCGCAAGCCUGAUCCAGCAAUGCCGCGUGCAGGAUGAAGGCCUUCGGGUUGUAAACUGCUUUUGUACGGAGCGAAAAGGUCUGCCCUAAUACGGUGGGCUCAUGACGGUACCGUAAGAAUAAGCACCGGCUAACUACGUGCCAGCAGCCGCGGUAAUACGUAGGGUGCGAGCGUUAAUCGGAAUUACUGGGCGUAAAGCGUGCGCAGGCGGUUGUGUAAGACAGGUGUGAAAUCCCCGGGCUUAACCUGGGAACUGCGCUUGUGACUGCACGGCUAGAGUAUGGCAGAGGGGGGUGGAAUUCCGCGUGUAGCAGUGAAAUGCGUAGAUAUGCGGAGGAACACCGAUGGCGAAGGCAAUCCCCUGGACCUGUACUGACGCUCAUGCACGAAAGCGUGGGGAGCAAACA
This 427-nucleotide ribosomal RNA is filed under the name uncultured bacterium. Its description in RNAcentral is "bacterial SSU rRNA". It matches the Rfam family "Bacterial small subunit ribosomal RNA", at positions 355 to 774 of the family's 1533-position model. The record is from RNAcentral.